AUUAGUAGUCAUCAUUCUAAUUUUCUGACUGAGGUUUCUUUGACACCUUCAUUUUUGGCUUUUAGAUAGUUUUGGUGGCCCUUUCGAACUUGUCGAACGUGUUUGUUUUAGCAUACCUUUGGCCUAAUCUUCAUUCUAAAAUGGUAUCCUCCCUUGAUAGGAAUUAUGACUUAUAGACCAUUUUCCAAGCCUAUUUUGGAUGUGUUUGGAAUCCAUUGGUCAACUUUUAAAUUAACCUGAAUUUUUUGGUCUUCUGGUUCUUAAACCCAUGUGGAAAAUCAGCAUUCACAUCUCCUACCAUUACAUAAGUUUGCAAAGGCUUUUUGGACUUAGCUUGAGCAUUAAAACCUUUUUCCAAUUGUAGCAAUUUUGGCAGUGGUGACAGCUCUAUUAGUUUCCUUUCGUAGUGUUUGAUAUAUUCUUCAUAGUGAGGUCACAGCAUCAACAAACCUUCUACGUCCUUUUUUCAUGAAGUUUAGAAUGAUUUUCAUUAGGAGGGCGUCGAAAAUCCCUUGGUCUCAUAGUUGCAGGCUUUCUGAAUCUAACAUUCACCAUGUUGGCAGGCAUUGUAAAGGAGUUACAACACCUAACGAUUGAUUUUUAGUCUGGCCAUUUGAGAUGUCAAUGCAUCACAUUCAUUAUUCGAGUUUUGCAUCAACGGAGUUAUGACUACUCCUAUCUGUUGAGUGAAAAUAUUCAUCAUUACAUGAUUACUAUCGUCAAGUUGUUGAUUUACACUUGCUAAUGUAUCUUGAGACAAUCCUACAACAUUAUUUUUGUUGCAGUCUCGACCAAAGUUACAUAAUUCGUUUGUAUACCCUACGAAUCGCGAAGUUCGCGGUACUUUUGCGAACCGGUUCACCAAAAUAACGUACACCUGUAACUCUUGUACUAAGAAUUGUUGUACUUAUAUAGAUAACUCAACUUCUAGUAUUUUAGAAACAACCGAUGUGGGACUACUUAGAAUUUUUGUACUCAUAUAGAUAACACAACAGUGACUUGAGCAUUAAAAAGCAUAUGUCCAUAUGGCAAAUUCGUAACAAAUGGUACAAAAUUUAACCAUGCAUCUUGUUAUUCAAAUUAUCUUGGAACA
Molecule: non-coding RNA, 1093 nt
Organism: Cicer arietinum (chickpea)
Lineage: Eukaryota; Viridiplantae; Streptophyta; Magnoliopsida; Fabales; Fabaceae
Source: RefSeq, a predicted model, not a curated record